AGCGGAGUUAACCCUAGAAUUGGAGAAUUGGAUCAGGUGAUGAGAUGAGUGGGAGACGAGAGAGCGAGGGCGGAGGCAGCCUUGGGUGGUGGACGCGUGAGCCGCUCUUCUUCUGCUUGGUUUCUUUUCAUUCUCCUCCUCCAAUCUAGACUAUGUGGGCUUUGUUAUUAUAUGCAUCGAUUCCGGCGUCGUCCGGGGUGAUCUACUUGACAGAAGAGAGUGAGCACACAGCGGCGUGGGUGUCGCCGGGAUGCCGUCGCUGUUGCGUGCUCACGUCUCUCUCUGUCAUCCCUUUCUCCCUGGCGGUGCCGGAUGAGAGAAAUCUGCUCUCCUUUACCCUUUUUCUUCUUUCCUUGCUUCUUUGAUCUUGUGUGAUGAGGGUUGAUGACGGUGACGAUGAUGCGAUUUGGUGAAAGAGGCAACCUUGCGUGGGUAUAUCGAUGGUGGAUCUGAUUGGACGCUCGUGCGCGGCAGGCUUUUCCUUUUCCUCCUCCUCCUCCUCGAACUUCGAUGCUGUCUUGACUAGUUCUGCUUGGUUUCCCAAGUACUGCUACUACUACUAGUUUUGGGUCUAUUUCAGACUUGGAGAGACUGGAACUUAUGGAUCAUGGAAGCGUGACUUUUGAGACGAUUGUUUCGGAUAAGGGCGAAGUACAUGAUCCAUCCAUAUGCCUAUUGUCUUCUCUCUCCUUUCCUUCUCCGCUUUCUUCCUCUUUUCCUUUCUAGUCUUCGUCAAGAUCCAUGCUCAAACCCUCAAGAAUUCGUUGCGUUCUUCUUGGGCGUAGAUCAACUGUAAUAAUCGUGUAGUGGAUGCAGCACCUCUCACUUUGGAGCUAUCAGGUCACUUAUCUCCACUUGUUGCUUCAGUUAAAAUUUGCUUCGCUCCUGCAUCAAAACCACCAUUGACGUGGUCCUCCAUUCUCUCGCUGGAAGUCGGAUUUCGUUCCAUGGUCGACGUUCUAUACCAGUGUUUGGUAGAGAAGCAAGUUGAGGAAAAGACUUGUCUGCUUUUAGGUUCAUGCAGUGGAGGUUCUGGUUUCUGUGGUCUCAGCUACUCGCUCCCAGAAAGUUCUCCUUUUGCUUAAGGUAAUGAGACAGCUCUUCGUAACUUCCUUGUCGCUAAUGUUUUCCACCAAGUUGUGUAGUUAUACUUUUGUAGUGUGACACACUUGAUAUCUGUUAGACGACUAAUUCAUGGCUUUUAUUAGGGGAUUGUGUAAGAAGUUAGGAUUAGGUAUAUAUUUUAUGUCAUCAAGAGAACCUUGAACACAAACAUGAUAAAUCAAUGACAAUCGCAAAGAGGAUGACACUUGACCUCCUGAUCUCGCGCAUCGAGUACAAAAUUCAUGUUUUGUCUUCUUGAUGAGGGAGAUGUGGGGGGAUGAUAUGUCCUCAUGUUUAACUAUCUUAUAAAGUUGGCUGACAGAAAAUUUACUAGAGGACUCAGUUGAUACAUGUUCUUUAAUGUUAAUUAACAUGCGCGAUUUAACAAAUUGUAUCUCGGCUUAGAAAAUAUGGCUCUAUGUCCGCAUUACGAUAUACAUGCAUCACUUGCCUUUUCUUUAUUCCAUCAUGAAAAUCCAAUUUACUUCUAAGUUCUAACUACAUCUUUUGUGGGCAUCAAAGCAAUAUGAUGCUUAAAAUGUGGCAAACUAAGCUAAUUGUGGUUGAGUGAUCUCUAUUGAAGAUGCAAGUGCAGUCUCUUGGACUUGGAUUAUAUAUAGAACGUAUAUGGAGGUAAGAGUGAUGACAUGAUGGAUUGUGGCAUGGAGAGAAUGUGAUGGAUGGAUUUUGUUGGUUCUAAAUAAUAUUUUUAUGCGUAGAAGGCAAGAAAGUGAGCUUUCUCAAUAGAUUAAGACUUGGCUUUUGACUGAAUCCUUCUUCAACUCUUGGUACGAUAUAGUCAAGUUAUAUGUAGCAAAAGGUAAACAAAUUAGAUAGAAACUUUCAACAUUAUUUGUGCAUCACAGGAUGAGCAUAUCAUGAGGACAGAAGGGUGUAUUCAGUCAAAACUGUCAAUUCAUAGAAAAGAAUUCAACAUGGUGAUUCUUAUCCAGAAACACAAAAGAAAUCCUUGUCAUUAGGACCACCUCUCUCUUAGUCAUGUGUAGACUUCUAUCCAAUUGGCCACUUUUUCCUUAGUCAUAUGGAGACUUCUACCCACUUUUUUCCUAGUCAUAUGGAGACUUCUACCCACUUUUUUCCUAGUCAUAUGGAUAACACUUGUACUCAAAUUAUAUGUGUCAUUCUAAUUUUUGUAUUUAUUUUCGGAUGCAUUUGGUUUUGUCUUAUGAUGCAAAAAAUUUUACGUUGUCCUUUUCCAUUAGAAUCUUUGAUCAUGUCAUGUACUUGUGACUUAAUUUGCUUCACUCAUUUGUUGGUUAUCUUUCAGCUACAUCUAUCACUCUGAUGCUUAAGUUAAUUUUUUAUUAUUUCGGAAUAUAUGUAGCUCUUUCCUUAUAAUCGAGAAUGGAUCAGUCACACACAGAAAAAGAUAAGAUGGAUAUGUCACACGGAGAAAAAAUUAAUAUGCAUCUCAAGGUAUAUAGCCCCUCCCUUAAUCUGCAAUGGAUCUACCACACGGAGAAAAAAUAAUAUUCAUCUGUGAUGUGGCUUAGUCUCCUGAACCCUAGCAGAAGAUUCAGGAUAAUGGUUUAGUAUCGUUCUGAUAUAACUUAUUAAGAGAACAUAACAUUCCUGUUUGAAUUUUCUUUUCAGUUUAGGAAAACAUCCCAUUUUGAAUCAUCCUGACUUUUAUAAUUUUUCUUUCAUUUUGUAUUAAACAUAUGUACUCUUCUGUAUCCAUUAUUUUGGUUGACUUUAGUCGUUAUUGUGAAUCUUGUGCUCCAUCCGUUGCUUCUUAUGUCCGCGUUAUCCAAUUUGCUCUAAGAUCAAGUAAUUCUGACUAGUUUAAUAUAAUUGGUUUCUUCGUUAAGACUGACCACCUUUCAAUUGUCAGCUUGUGUGAAAACCAAAAAAUAUUUAUUAACAUAAAUAUAGGGUUUGUUGUGCCAACCUGUAUCACUUAAUACUGAGAUACAUACUAGUUCGAUGAGAUAUCGGUACGAGGAUCGUCCUUUACCAGGUGGUAUCAUCACAUGACCUCGUAUCGAACGAUACGAUAUUUUUGUCGAGCGAUAACAAUCGAAAUCCAAUCAUUACCAUUCGAAAAUCCGAUUAUUACCGACCUAUACCAGUUGGUAACGGUCAAGGGUUGAGAUUUCUCUAUUUCAAAUAGUCAAAUUAAUCGUUUAAGGCUUAGAAGAGGGUUUUUAAACAUUUUUCUUCCUCUUUCAAUUCAUUUUGCUCUCUUGAUCUUUUCAACUCUAUUAGCUUGUGACACCCUGAUCGAUUACGACGAUUAGACUACACCUUGUAUUGAUAGCCUCGGAUGUGAAAGGUUCACGACGAUCAGAUUACGACCAUCAUCACAUUGUUGCACUGAUGACAUAUGGUGUAUCAGUAUACUAUGUCAUUGGAUCAAUUUUAGGAUUGAGUCCGACAAACAUAUCAUAUUAAUAUAUAGAUAUAUAGGAUCAAGGACCCCAAAACAUCGCUCGUAGAGUCUCAGCGUUCUUUUUAGUAGUAGAACAGAUAUAUUCGUUGAUUAAUUACUUAAUUCAUUUGAAUCUUAAAGUUUAAGUUAUUUAAAAAAUAAUCUAACAAUCAAAUUAUUUCUUUGUAGAUAAUUAAAUAUUAAUGGGUGGACAAUUCAAAACGUACUGUAAAGUUACUCCUCAAAGCUCAAAAAAGAUGUCACUAUUAUUUCCUAAUUUACAUUAUUUAUGUUAAAAUUAUACUAAAAUUAUAUUUAUUUUUAACUUAAAAAUCCUAAUCUAAUUUUUUAAAUUUUUUUAGAUAUUCUUGAAGUUAUUUUUGAUGAUUUUGGUUGUAUUAUUGGUACGCCCCUAUGUAUCAUCGGUACACCUCGGUACGUACCAUACCGAUACCUAAUCGAUACAUCAGUACAUAUCAAAAUUGCAAACCUUAUAUAAAGAUUUGUUUGUCUGACAUUUUAGGCUAGUGAAGAAUUAAGAUACGGGUGUUGUCAGAUCCAGGAAUCAUUAGCAUUUGUUUUGAUGGAAAACUAGGUCAAUGAAUACAAGAGACUGCCAUGGAUGGUGUUUGAUUGCAAGAGACUGCAAUGUCACCCUUACUCCUUGUAUUGUAUUUGUUCAAUAGUAUUUAAAGUAAAAAUUAAUCCCAUAGGAAAAAUAGUCAAUAUGGAUUUAUUUAUUGCUAUGUAAGCAUUUUACCACUUUCUACCCUUAGAAUGGCAUGACUUUGUUGACUGGCUUCCUCUAUAUGAAGUGAAACGUUUCUUCUUCUUUUUUCACAUGAGGUCUGUGUUAUUUGGAAGGCGAUACUAUUCUUAUAGGUGAUGUAGAAUUUGAAAUUGAAGUUUAGAUCGUAAAGAAGGUGAUGUAGAGAAAUAGAGAGAGAGAGAGAGAGAGAGAGAGAGAGAGGAGUGAGAUUAAAAAUUAGAGGAGAAAAAAAGAGGAGUGAGAUUAUAGAUUAAAGGGAGAGAAAGAGAGGAGAAAAAGAGGCUAGAAGAGAGAAAAUGCAAUUCUUUUUCAUUCAAAUCUGAACAGUUUCAUGCAUUAAUAAGCUCCACUAUUUAUAAGGGUUUAAGAGCCUUAGUAUAAUCAAUGUAGGUAAUGAUUUCUAAGAGUAAUCUCUUAGGGAACUUGUAUAUCUUUUAUAAACCCAAAAUAUAACUCCUAGGAUAUCUAAACAACUUUAAAAUAACUUAUUACAACUGAGAAAAAAAAGAGUACAUUUAAUACAAAAGUAAACUCCCAAAGGUAGCACCUAAAAAGGCUAAAGAUUCUUUAAUUUUUCAAACAAUUCUCAGAGUUUCUAAGCCAACUAAUUAAUGACUUUUUAUUGAUUUUCUUAUCUAGAAUAAAUUAUUCUAAUAUCCUUUAUAAAACUAGAUGAUUCUCCAUUAGAAAGAUUUUCCAAAGUAUGCCUCCUAAAAAACCUAUAGGAAAUUGAAUCAUUAUAUCGGCUUGUCAAAUCUCUUCGUCUGUUUCUCCAUGUCCAAACCCUCAAUUGAUCUUUCUUUCGAAGCUUUUCAUCUUCCUCUUCAAUCCAUCUUAUUUCUUCCAAGUGAUUGCUAUAUUCCAUUAAAGAUUAAUACUAUAUGAACAAAAAGGAGCUAGCAGGAGUCUCUAUGCUAUCUCACUAGUGUUUAAUUGUUACAUGGAAGGAAGGGGAAGAGUAACACACAAAACAACGUUGCCUUAACAGUAUAAAUGGAGCUGCAAAUAUAAUAGAAGAAGACAACUGUUUAAUGGGCAUUUGUGAGCAGUGAUUUAAAAAUAAUAGAAGAAGACAACUGUAUACUGUUAAUAGUAUAUAGUAUAAUAGUAUACUGUAUACUUUUAAUAAUAUACUGUAUACUUUUAAUAGUAUACUGUAUACUUUUAACAGUAUACUUUCAAUUUCGAAAGAGAAGCGAAAGAGAAGAGAAGAGUGUAAGGGAAGACCGAGGGUGUUGAGAAAAGCGAGAGCGGCAGCGGUAGCGGCAAUGGCGAGCGACGACAGUGGCAGCGGCAGUGGUAGCAGUGAGCAGCGGGAGCAGGAGCGGCGAGCGGUGACAGAGCACAUAACAUUCCUAUUUGAAUUAUCUUUUCAGUUUAGGAAAACAUCCCAUUUUGAAUCAUCUUGACUUUUAUAAUUUUUCUUUCAUUUUGUAUUAAACAUAUGUACUCUUCUCUAUCCAUUAUUCUGGUUGACUUUAGUUGUUAUUGUGAAUCUUGUGCUCCAUCCGUUGCUUCUUAUGUCCACUUCAUCCAAUUUGCUCUAAGAUCAAGUAAUUCUGACUAGCUUAACAUAAUUGGUUUCUUCGUUAAGACUGACCACCUUUCAAUUGUCAGCUUGUGUGACAACCAAAAAAUAUUUAUUAACAUAAAUAUAGGGUUUGCUGUGUCAACCUGUAUCACUUAAUACUGAGAUACAUACUAGUUCGAUGAGAUAUCGGUACGAGGAUCCUCCUUUACCAAGUGGUAUCAUCACAUGACCUCGUAUCGAACGAUACGAUAUUUUUGUCGAGCGAUAACAGUCGAAAUCCAAUCAUUACCGUUCGAAAAUCCGAUCAUUACCGAUCUAUGCCAGUUGGUAACGAUCAAGGGUUGAGAUUUCUCGAUUUCAAAUAGUCAAUUUAAUCGUUUAAGUCUUAGAAGAGGGUUUUUAAACAUUUUUCUUCCUCUUUCAAUUCAUUUUGCUCUCUCGAUCUCUUCAACUCUAUUAGCUUGUGACACCAUGAUCGAUUACGACGAUUAGACUACACCUUGUAUCGAUAGCCUCGGACAUGUGGUUCACGACGAUCAGAUUACGACCAUCAUCACAUUGUUGCACUGAUGACAUAUGGUGUAUCAAUACACUAUGUCAUGAGAUUAAUUUUAGGAUUGAGUCCGACAAACAUAUCAUAUUAAUAUACAGAUAUAUAGGAUCAAGGACCCCAAUACAUCGCUCGUAGAGUCUCAGCGUUCUUUUUAGUAGUAGAACCAGAUAUAUUUGUUGAUUAAUUACUUAAUUCAUUUGAAUCUUAAAGUUUAAGUUAUUUAAAAAAUAAUCUAACAAUCAAAUUAUUUUUUUAUAGAUAAUUAAAUAUUAAUGGGAGGACGAUUCAAAAUGUACCGUAAAGUUACUUCUCAAAGCUCAAAAAAGAUGUCACUAUUAUUUCCUAAUUUACAUUAUUUAUGUUAAAAUUAUACUAAAUUUAUAUUUAUUUUUAACUUAAAAAUCCUAAUCUAUUUUUUAAAAUUUUUUAGAUAUUCUUGAAGUUAUUUUUGAUGAUUUUGAUUGUAUCAUUGGUACGUCUCUAUGUAUCAUCGGUACACCUCGGUACAUACCAUACCGAUACCUAAUCGAUACAUCAGUACAUAUCAAAAUUGCAAACCUUAUAUAAAGAUUUGUUUGUCUGACAUUUUAGGCUAGUGAAGAAUUAAGAUACGGGUGUUGUCAGAUCCAGGAAUCAUUAGCAUUUGUUUUGAUGGAAAACUACGUCAAUGAAUACAAGAGACUGCCAUGGAUGGUGUUUGAUUGCAAGAGACUGCAAUGUCACCCUUACUCCUUGUAUUGCAUUUGUUCAAUAGUAUUUAAAGUAAAAAUUAAUCCCAUAGGAAAAAUAGUCAAUAUGGAUUUAUUUAUUACUAUGUAAGCAUUUUACCACUUUCUACCCUUAGAAUGGCAUGACUUUGUUGACUGGCUUCCUCUAUAUGAAGUGAAACGUUUCUUCUUUUUUUUUCACAUGAGGUCUGUGUUAUUUGGAAGGCGAUACUAUUCUUAUAGGUGAUGUAGAAUUUGAAAUUGAAGUUUAGAUCGUAAAGAAGGUGAUGUAGAGAAAUAGAGAGAGAGAGAGAGAGAGAGAGAGAGGAGUGAGAUUAAAAAUUAGAGGAGAAAAAAAGAGGAGUGAGAUUAGAGAUUAAAGGGAGAGAAAGAGAGGAGAAAAAGAGGCUAGAAGAGAGAAAAUGUAAUUCUUUUUCAUUCAAAUCUGAACAGUUUCAUCCAUUGAUAAGCUCCACUAUUUAUAAGGGUUUAAGAGCCUUAGUAUAAUCAAUGUAGGUAAUGAUUUCUAAGAGUAAUCUAUUAGGGAACUUGUAUGUCUUUUAUAAACCCAAAAUAUAACUCCUAGGAUAUCUAAACAGCUUUAAAAUAACUUAUUACAACUGAGAAAAAAAAAAGUACACUUAAUACAAAAGUAAACUCCCAAAGGUGGCACCUAAAAAGGCUAAAGAUUCUUUAAUUUUUCAAACAAUUCUCAGAGUUUCUAAGCCAACUAAUUAAUGACUUUUUAUUGAUUUUCUUAUCUAGAAUAAAUUAUUCUAAUAUCCUUUAUAAAACUAGAUGAUUCUCCAUUAGAAAGAUUUUCCAAAGUAUGCCUCCUAAAAAACCUAUAAAACCUAUAGGAAAUUGAAUCAUCAUAUCGGCUUGUCAAAUCUCUUCAUCUGUUUCUCCAUGUCCAAACCCUCAAUUGAUCUUUCUUUAGAAGCUUUUCAUCUUCCUCUUCAAUCCAUCUUAUUUCUUCCAAGUGAUUGCUAUAUUCCAUUAAAGAUUAAUACUAUAUGAACAAAAAGGAGCUAGCAGGAGUCUCUAUGCUAUCUCACUAGUGUUGAAUUGUUACUUGGAAGGAAGGGGAAGAGUAACACACAAAACAAUGGUGCCUUAACAUUAUAAAUGGAGCUGCAAAUAUAAUAGAAGCAGACAACAGUUGAAUGGGCAUUUGUGAGCAAUAAUUUAAAAAGCGAUAGGCGCCAAAAGACACCACGAUCCAAAAACGUCCGAAGCGCUAGGCCAUCUCUCGAGUGCCAUCUCUCGAGUGAAGUAAGGUGCUAAAAAUUAAUAAUAUUAAAAUUAAUAGUAUUAAAAUCAAAACAAUAGUGUUAUACUGUAUACAGUAAACAAUAUAUUAUAUAUUGUUAACGGUAUAUAGUAUAAUAGUAUAUUGUAUACUUUUAACAGUAUACUUUUGAUUUCGAAAUAGGAGAAGCGAAAGAGAAGAGAAGAGUGUAAGGGAAGACCGAGGGUGUUGAGAAAAGCGAGAGCGGCAACGGUAGCGGCAACGGCGAGCGACGACAGUGGCAGCGGCAGUGGUAGCAGUGAGCAGCGGGACCAGGAGCGACGAGCGGUGACAGAGGCAGCAACAACAGCGAGCAACGACUGCGGGAGCGGGAGCGACGAGCGGCGAUAGUGGCAGCGGCAGCGGUAAAAGUGAGCAGCAGUGAGCGGCAACAGUGGCAGCGACAGCAGCGAGCAGUAGCAUCGAGUAGCGUGAACGAUGAGCAGGGUUAGGGUUGGGAAGUCGCGCUGAUAUCGGUGCUUUAGUUGGUUCGAUUGAACCAACUAAAGCACCGGAGACCGAACCAGACCUAAACCGCUGGUUCGGUCACCUGGUUUAACCCAGGUGCUCGCCUGAAGUGUCCGGCGCCUGGGCUCUCGGGCGAGCGCCUAGGCGGUGCCUCUUUGAAGCGUGCCGUCUGGAAAUGAAGCGAGGCGCUCGGGCCUCGCCUCGCCUCGCCUAAGCGCGCCGCCUCUUUGAAGCGCGCCGUCUGGAAAUGAAGCGAGGCGCUCGGGCCUCGCCUCGCCUCGCCCGAGCGCCUAGGUGAAUGCCUGAGCGCCUUUUUAAAUCACUGUUUGUGAGCGAGCCCUUGCAAUCUUUAAAUAUCUGGCAUGUUCAACACAUGAUUCAGAAAUUUUGAUGGCCAGGACCAGUAUUUCUGAUCCUGAUCUAUUUGGUAAGUAGAUUCUGCAACCUGGCCAUGGUGUGAAACAUGUAUCUAUAAUUGAAAAACAAGUGAUAGCAAUUUUCAUUUGUACUGACAUAGCAUAUGUAACAGUGAGUAUUGCCAUGCAUUUCUUUUUUACUUGGCUUUGGUUGGCAAUCUGCUGUACAGUAAUGCCACAUAGACACACUUAAUCUUGAGCUCCAAACUUUUCUUUCAAUAUUUUGUCGAAAUUACUGUGAUUUUGUGAUUUACAUGUCUUCAUCAUUUAAGAGUUUAUCAUUAAUUAUUGGCAAAUAUUUCUAUUAGCUGUCCAUCACCACUUGAAUUUCUAUUUUUUUUUUGUCGACACAGGAACAUGAACCAUUUUUAGCAGUUCAAUAACUUGAUUUACAAAAUUGUGGGAUCAUGAAUUAACAUUGAGGUUUUUCAUUUAAUUUUCUUGGAAGAAGAGACAAGUUAUUCAUAAAUACAUUAUAUAAAUACUUUCAGAUCCAUCAUAAUGAAAAUUAUUUUUAUUUAAUUUUAAUAAUAAAUUCAAGAGGAAUUGUUGGUUACCUUUUAAAUUAGGGUAAUUCCGACUAAGAGGUCAUAAUUGAAAUGCUAGUAAAAUUUAAGAAAGCGACAAAAGCUAAUUAAUAUCAUUAAAUAGGUAGUUUAAUAAGAUUUUCAUACAGUUUAUUUUACAAAACAAAAAAAAAAUCUAUAGAUAGGACAGUGAGAUGAAGCUCAGAAAAUAUUUUAGAACAUUAGUUAUCAAAGAAUGCAUUUGGUCAAACUUUGGUUGUUUGAUUAUAAUUUUUGAAAUAGCUUUUGGGAGAAGUUAAAGAACUUCCUCAGGGAGGAUCAAAAUGUCCUCCAGAUUUUUGCUUUAAAAGAUUCUUUAAUUGAAUAUCUUUUGACAUCAGCAUCUAUAUUAUUGUUGAUACCAUUACUCAUACUGUUAUUCUCGCCACCACCAUCACUGCCAAUAUUAUUGUUAUUAUUAUCAUCACUAAUGGUUUCAACAUUGUCACCGUCCUUUGCCAUCUUCAUUGCUAUUACUACCAUCGCUAUUACUAUCAUCGUCUACUAUCAUUAUCAUCAUCACUGUAACAACUGUCUCUAUCAACCUGUGGUCAUUAUCAUUCAUUAUUGUUGUUGUUGCCUCCAGUAUUAUCGUUAUCAUCAAUACUAAUCUUCAUCAUAGCUACCGCUACCAUAAUCACGGACCAUUAUCAUUAUUACCAUCUCCAUCAUAAGAAUGGUCUUCAUCAUCACCUUUAUAAAUACGACCGCAAGCACCUUCAGCCAUUGCUAUUGUUAUCAUGAUUAUCAUCGUUCGUGCCAUCGCCACAAUCCCUCCACCAUUAUCAAUUGCUUGGUCAAUUAUUUAUUUGACUACAAAAGCAAAAUGUGGUGGUAAACGCUAAAGCAUUUCCUAUAUUCAGAUUUAGAAUGAGCUUUUCCUAAGUCCACCUUUUUGAAAGUGAAACAAGAUCAAAGGGGUUGGAGUGGUUCAGAUUUGAUAAAGUCGAUCUUUUUUUUUUUAAGGCUUUAAGCAAUCUUAAAUUUUGGAUGGAUCAUGUUAAGAAAAGUUGUAGAAUUUUUGGUAGAAACCUUAUAGGGUUCAAAUUUAAUAUGGCACAUUAGAGUCAAAAUAAAAUUGUUUAUGCAAUUUUUAACUAGUUCAAUUUCUGCGUGGAUCGUGUUAAAGGGCUAUGAUAAUAGUUUUAUCCUUCGGGUGUCAUAUUGUGUUAAUCAAUAUUAUGAUAAUAGUUUUGUCGUUCGGGUGUCUGAUUGUGUUAAGCAAUUUUAUCACCAGCCUCCCGAGGAUGAAUACUCAAAAGACUCUUUGAUAUACUUUUUACACUAAACCAACUCUAACAGCGAAGUUUGUGAUGUGUUAAGCAUGUUUUUUUACAUCUUUGAAAGUUAGCCAAUCUUGAAGGUGGAAGGUUAUAUAUUUUGUACUUUUCGACAACCUACCCUAAAGCUAAUGGCCGUAAUGUAUUUGGUGUCUGCUUGUUCUCUACUUAGCCAACCCCAAAGGUGGAUGAAUUUUCACUGCUAUGUCAACUCCGAAGGCAGAGGCCUCAAGGUAUUAUUAAACUCAUUUUGUUCUUCACCUGGCCAACCUUGGGGAUGAAGGCAACACACAAUGUUCCAAGCUUAACCAUGAUCAGCAUAGGAUGAAAAAGGUUCUAUUGUAUGCUUAUACCAAUAGGAAAACAAGGACUUAUACAUGAAUGAAUGAGCAAAGGAGACUGUAGAGAAGAUACUAUCAUUGCAUGACAGAGUGACUUCAUCUUGCCGCCAAAGUACUUAUUUGUUUCAAGGUGUUCAAAAUAAAAUCGGAUAGAAUUCGCAUACAUCUAAUGUGCAGUUAGGUUGAACUCAAUUGGUCAAUGUGUCUGAAACUUUGUGCAGCUGCGGCUAAUUGAGACCAUUAGAGGUUAUUUUAUCUGAGGCAAAGUCAUGGAUUGAACUUUGAAGUACUUCCGAGGAUAAAAUCAUUGUUUUCAGAAAGCACAGAUCAACAUAGGGAAUGUUAGACACACAUCAUGAUCUUGGUAUGAGUAUUCAUGGAACAUAGGUAAAAGAAUAUGUGCUUGGGCAAUUUAUCCAUAGGUGAACCACCCAUAACACAACACACAAACUGAGCAGAUUCUUUCGUUUACUACUGCCUAUUUCAACUCUACCAUUCUUCAUUCAGGGAUGAUACGACACGCGAGAAUGAGCCAAGGCUAGUUUUUUCUGUAAUGGUUCCUAAAAGAAAUUGAGUGCUUAGUGGAUAGAGAGAAAUUUUGAAAAUCCAAUCAGCUAAGUACAGAACAAUAGCAUAAUCAACAAUAGAGGAGAGGAGGGAUGAAGAAGAAAUUAGAGACCACCUAUGAUUUCUCAUGUGUUAAAUAGUUAUGUUUACUCUUUGCAAAUGUUUGCUUCUCAUUGUCAAAGAAAUGCCUUUUACACUCAUAAAUGAAGCUUAAAGAUAAAACCCAGAUCAUGCUAGCUAUCCAUCUUUUGAUCUCAUAACGAACUCAAUCUAAUUCUUGUAUUUUUUUUUACAUUUUCAUGUGUCUAUACAUGCAUGUCUGGCAGCCUUUCUGGUCUUUCUUUUUUUAUUUUCGUUUUAAUUUAUUGAUUUUUCAUUCCUGUUUCGUGUAUAAAUCUAGAUCCGAUUCGACAAUUAGUUCAACAUGGAUAGAUCAGAUGAAACAAAUUGGCUUCUCAUGGCAAUUUUUUGCAUCAGUCUAGCCUCUUCUUAUUAUUAUUGUUUUUUUACUUUUCCAAGUAAGAAGCUUAAGUAUGUCAUGCGUUGACAAACCCUUCAUACUGACCGAUUUAAUUUGUUGCAAAGAAACUCGAUCACAGUGAUAGUAGCUGGAAAGGCCAAACUCCAAUGGAAUUAUUGCCGAAUGUUACUAUAAGAAGCAGAUUCUUUUCCUGCUAAGUGUUCCUUUCAUCUUGUCCAGACUAUCUAUUGCUUGAUGUCCUUACAGAUCUUUCUAGGCUAUCUUCCCGAGGGCUUUAAUCUACUUGAAUAUCUGCAAUUUUGUGUGAGGGAACCGAGACAAGGGCAAUCCAGUAUGAAUGAUAUUGAUCUUGUCCUUUCCUCAUUGAAUCCUCAAUUCACAUUAUGCCUUGCUUUCGACAAAGCUUUUGUUUGCGUCCAUUUCGCGCGUCUUAGUGCUUUUGUUCUGCCUUUUCAUCAAGCUAGUGAUACAGUAUACGUUCGAAGUUGCUAUGACAAGAGCUAAACCGAGUUGAGCAACAUUAUCAUGUUCAUUAUCUGGGUUUUACUAUUUGCUGCAUAUGUGACGAAGACAUUGAGAUAAAUUUGAACUCAUCAAGAGACAUAUACGCAUUCCUAUACUCUCUUUUCAUUUUUAUUGCACUUUCUUGUCCGGCAAUAUGGUGGUAACAAAUUGUCAAGCAAGGAUUUCGGCCUUCUAAGUUGAUGCGCAUAAGCAUUAAACGUCCAAAUACAGUAUCUUUCAUUACCUUCGAAUUGAACUUUUCCAUGGUUACAAGGUUCUGAAUUGCCAAACUUCAGCAAUGUACCAGUUCUCUGAGAGAUUGAUGGAAUGGUUCUCAUACAUUGGCCAAUAUCAGGAGUUUUGUUUCCUUAUACAGUGCUUGUAACUGAUCUCCAUGAAAAGGACUCUCUUAAUUCAGAGGGGAAAACUAAAAGGGAAGCUGCAGUGCAAUCGAAAAGAUAGGAAGAAAGCGUGUUGGUUGUCGUGAAUCUAUCAAAUUGGAUCCAAGAGCUGAAGCCUAAGCCAUGGAAGAAGUGGAGAGAAGAUUUCUACGGAUCGCUGCCAUAACUGUAACUUUUGCCAUGAUGACCAAAGAAAUGCUUGAUGUCAAAUAUUUUGGCUCACAGAAGCAAGGAAAUCAUGGACAUGAGAGGCUUCAAAGAAGAUGAACAAGUAGUAGAGGAGUACUCGCUUGUUCGGACCAUUUAACAUGUCUUUGUCUCACAACCUUCGCUGCAUUUGAGGCUUCAACAGUCGAGGGAGGGAAUUGUCAUCCUUCGAGUCUCCUUCGUUGUAGAGUUGCAGUGUGCAAAUCAUCCUUGGUUUUGGUGUUGCAAUGAGCAUUGUUUUAUUUUAAAAAAAUGGGCAUUUUUAGAUUCCUCAACUCUCCAUGGACUUUGAGAAACCAUCGACUUUUGAAUGUUGAACAAGCCAUUUGAUUGGUUAUGUACUGAUUGAACGAAAGGAUGUUCUAUAAGUUGCUAUGUUGUUCUUGUCUGAUAACAUGAAUUGCAUAUGUUGGUGUCCUGAUUUUGCAA
Molecule: long non-coding RNA, 14007 nt
Organism: Musa acuminata AAA Group (dessert banana)
Lineage: Eukaryota; Viridiplantae; Streptophyta; Magnoliopsida; Zingiberales; Musaceae
Exons: 3
Source: RefSeq, a predicted model, not a curated record